This 225-nucleotide long non-coding RNA is filed under the name Elaeis guineensis (African oil palm). RNAcentral describes it as "long non-coding RNA (EGUI_LNC009226)". The record is from RNAcentral. Lineage: Eukaryota; Viridiplantae; Streptophyta; Magnoliopsida; Arecales; Arecaceae.
CCCACCUUUUUUCCUCUUCUUCCACUCGGCCCGGCCGCCCCCUUCCUCCUCCUCCUCCACUACUUGUGGCUACCUCCUCUUCUUUCUCUUCCUCCAUCGCUAGACUCCCCACCACUGCCACUCAUCUCCCCAUCCCUAGGGCUAGCUGCCUCCUCUUUUCUCCUCCAUUGCUCAUGGCUACCCCUCUUCUUUCUCCUCCUCCAUCGCUUGAGCUUGCUGCUUGCC